Nyctereutes procyonoides (raccoon dog) is the source of this 306-nucleotide long non-coding RNA. RefSeq lists it as uncharacterized. The transcript has 3 exons. The record is from RefSeq and is a predicted model, not a curated record. NCBI's taxonomy places the organism in Eukaryota, Metazoa, Chordata, Mammalia, Carnivora, Canidae.
GUUGAUACAAUCCAUGCUGGAUUGACAUGAGCCAGCUCUGCCCCUGGCACAUCACCUCCGGAAGGGCAGGCUGCUGCGGGAAUGAACACCGCGUGGCUGGGGGCAGGACUGGAGGUUUAGCAGCGCAGGUGACACCUGAGACGUAAAGAAGCGACUGCGUUUGCUGCACCCAGAGGCCAUUCUGUGAGUCUCUUGGGAUGUCUGCUCCUGAGCCUCCAGCCAACUCAGGCCCAUCCAGAUGCUCUGUCUCAUAGCUAAGACUCACCUGGUUUUCAAAUCAGCACGUGUAGCACGCACAGGGCUCCG